RNAcentral lists this ribosomal RNA (253 nucleotides) under uncultured bacterium. RNAcentral's name for it is "partial 16S ribosomal RNA". It matches the Rfam family "Bacterial small subunit ribosomal RNA", at positions 524 to 776 of the family's 1533-position model. The record is from RNAcentral.
UACAGAGGUCUCAAGCGUUGUUCGGAUUCAUUGGGCGUAAAGGGUGCGUAGGCGGCUCGUUGCGUCGGCUGUGAAAACCCGCAGCUCAACUGUGGGCUUGCAGCCGAUACGGGCGGGCUGGAGUUCGGUAGGGGAGACUGGAAUUCCUGGUGUAGCGGUGAAAUGCGCAGAUAUCAGGAGGAACACCGGUGGCGAAGGCGGGUCUCUGGGCCGAUACUGACGCUGAGGAGCGAAAGCGUGGGGAGCGAACAGG